Molecule: ribosomal RNA, 508 nt
Filed under: uncultured Candida
Lineage: Eukaryota; Fungi; Ascomycota; Saccharomycetes; Saccharomycetales
Description: eukaryotic LSU rRNA
Rfam family: Eukaryotic large subunit ribosomal RNA
Source: RNAcentral
AAACCAACAGGGAUUGCCUCAGUAACGGCGAGUGAAGCGGCAAAAGCUCAAAUUUGAAAUCUAACACUUUCAGUGUUCGAGUUGUAAUUUGAAGAAAGUUUCUCUGAGUAGUCCUUUAUCUAUGUUCCUUGGAACAGGACGUCAUAGAGGGUGAGAAUCCCGUAUGAUUUUGGAUACUAUUCUUUGUGAGAUUCUUUCGAAGAGUCGAGUUGUUUGGGAAUGCAGCUCUAAGUGGGUGGUAAAUUCCAUCUAAAGCUAAAUAUUGGCGAGAGACCGAUAGCGAACAAGUACAGUGAUGGAAAGAUGAAAAGAACUCUGAAGAGAGAGUGAAAAAGUACGUGAAAUUGCUGAAAGGGAAGGGCUUUAGGUCAGACUUGGUGUUUAAAUGAUUAUCUUCUCUUUUUGAGUUGUGCACUCGUUUUCACUGGGCCAAUAUCAGUUUUUGUGGUAGAGCACCUAUGGAAUGUAGCUUUUCUUCGGAUGAGUGUUAUAGCCUUUAGACGAUCUU